GCGUCUAUCUGUGAGGUCUCUAAGGCUCUUAAGGUAACCAAAGAAGGUGGCGCCGUAAGCUGACUCAAGCGUUCUAGAGUGGAAACAGCCUGUUUCUGAGCACCUGUUUAACGUUCACCUGAGAGCUCCUGGAUCUAUUUCACACUCCACUAGGUCUUUGGGAGGGGGUUGGGUGAGAAGGUUUGCAGCAUCUCCACUAGCAUCAGAAGCUCUCCAAACCGAUCGGGAAGAGGAUCUAGCUGAAAAAACUUUGAACUUCAAUGCGACCGCCACAGCCACAAUUGCACACCAGCCUGAUUAGCUGUGUUUAUCUGCGAAGGACACAGCGAUGGAGAAGCUGAUCUUUGAACUUUCAUUGUGGCAGAAACCUCAGGGGAGCAUCAGGAUCAAUCUCAGCUGGACAGGAGAUGAAGGUUACGCUGUCCUGGCCUGUGCUGAGCUGAUGGGUGAAAAGAUUCCCCUCUGGGCCUUCCUGGUUUACAAUAGCCAUUCGGUGGAGCAAAGCCAACACAUCGAUCUCUCGCCUACGGAUUAUAUACAAAGGCACCAAUCAGUGUGGAAUGUUGAACGGGAAAAUAUGCUCCUUUUUGCUCUCUACUCCAUGUGGCUUCAUUAAGCUGGUCACAGUGCAUUUCCACUCAUUUUUUGAAGCACUACUCCUUGUGUGAGUGGAACUGGCUAUGACAAUGGCACAUAAAACAUUACCACAUAAAACAACACCUGUGAGGGUGCAGGGCAUUGUGAUAAAGCACCAUAAUCUCCACAAGGACAGCACUGAUAUUUGGGGCACAUAAGCAUGAUAAUGGGAUGCAUAAAUGUCAUAAGGUGACCUCUUCAAACUGAGGGCCGAUUAUCCUUCUGGAUGUGUCAUAUUGUUCUGGUGCACUUAGAUAUGUUGCUCUCCUGUGGGCUGUUCGGCUUUUCAUGUCCUUUUCACAUGAUAAAGGAAUGUGCUUAAAACAAACGCUCAUUCAGACUACACCGGUGAACUCUGAAUAAAUUUAAAAAGGAAGAGAGAGAACA
Long non-coding RNA from Cyprinus carpio (common carp), 1023 nucleotides. The record is from Ensembl. NCBI's taxonomy places the organism in Eukaryota, Metazoa, Chordata, Actinopteri, Cypriniformes, Cyprinidae.